CAAGAGCAAAGGGGAACUAAAUCCGAUAAAGGGAAGGAAAAAGUGGUCGAAUAGCCAUCGGAAUCGUUCGAUAACAUCCGAGGUAAGUUUUAAGUGUUUAAACGUUGAGUAAAUUCAAUUAUAAUAGGACAUGAUGAGUUGAUUUAAUAAGAUAAGAUGUGGCCAUGAUAUGUUCUAAGCUCAAAUGGUAAGUUCUUAAGUGUUUGAGCUUGGGAAUUUAAGG
RNAcentral lists this long non-coding RNA (223 nucleotides) under Gossypium barbadense (sea-island cotton). Its description in RNAcentral is "long non-coding RNA (GBAR_LNC006515)". The record is from RNAcentral. Lineage: Eukaryota; Viridiplantae; Streptophyta; Magnoliopsida; Malvales; Malvaceae.